AUCAUGGCUCAGGAUGAACGCUAGCUACAGGCUUAACACAUGCAAGUCGAGGGGCAGCAUGGUCUUAGCUUGCUAAGGCCGAUGGCGACCGGCGCACGGGUGAGUAACACGUAUCCAACCUGCCGUCUACUCUUGGACAGCCUUCUGAAAGGAGAUUAAUACAAGAUGGCAUCAUGAGUCCGCAUGUUCACAUGAUUAAAGGGUAUUCCCGGGUAGACCGAUGGGGG
This 227-nucleotide ribosomal RNA is filed under the name uncultured bacterium. RNAcentral describes it as "partial 16S ribosomal RNA". It matches the Rfam family "Bacterial small subunit ribosomal RNA", at positions 16 to 231 of the family's 1533-position model. The record is from RNAcentral.